CGGGAUGUCGGGGAGCCAGGUCACCCCACCUGCUUCGGGUGCAGGUCAUCGCAGGUUCGAAUCCUGCCGUCCCGA
This 75-nucleotide transfer RNA is filed under the name Kineococcus xinjiangensis. It matches the Rfam family "tRNA". From Rfam's summary of the family: Transfer RNA (tRNA) molecules are approximately 80 nucleotides in length. Their secondary structure includes four short double-helical elements and three loops (D, anti-codon, and T loops). Further hydrogen bonds mediate the characteristic L-shaped molecular structure. tRNAs have two regions of fundamental functional importance: the anti-codon, which is responsible for specific mRNA codon recognition, and the 3' end, to which the tRNAs corresponding amino acid is attached (by aminoacyl-tRNA synthetases). tRNAs cope with the degeneracy of the genetic code in two manners: having more than one tRNA (with a specific anti-codon) for a particular amino acid; and 'wobble' base-pairing, i.e. permitting non-standard base-pairing at the 3rd anti-codon position. The record is from Rfam by way of RNAcentral. Lineage: Bacteria; Bacillati; Actinomycetota; Actinomycetes; Kineosporiales; Kineosporiaceae.